UGGGGAAUAUUGCACAAUGGGCGCAAGCCUGAUGCAGCGACGCCGCGUGGGGGAUGACGGCCUUCGGGUUGUAAACCUCUUUCAGCAUCGACGAAGCGCCAGUGACGGUAGAUGCAGAAGAAGCCCCGGCCAACUACGUGCCAGCAGCCGCGGUAAUACGUAGGGUGCGAGCGUUGUCCGGAAUUACUGGGCGUAAAGAGCUCGUAGGUGGUUUGUCGCGUUGUUCGUGAAAACUCACAGCUUAACUGUGGGCGUGCGGGCGAUACGGGCAGACUGGAGUACUGCAGGGGAGACUGGAAUUCCUGGUGUAGCGGUGGAAUGCGCAGAUAUCAGGAGGAACACCGGUGGCGAAGGCGGGUCUCUGGGCAGUAACUGACGCUGAGGAGCGAAAGCGUGGGGAGCGAAC
This 406-nucleotide ribosomal RNA is filed under the name uncultured bacterium. RNAcentral's name for it is "bacterial SSU rRNA". It matches the Rfam family "Bacterial small subunit ribosomal RNA", at positions 355 to 773 of the family's 1533-position model. The record is from RNAcentral.